UCCAAUCUCUACACAGCAUCAUGUGCAGCCU
This 31-nucleotide non-coding RNA is filed under the name Mus musculus (house mouse). The record is from RNAcentral. Lineage: Eukaryota; Metazoa; Chordata; Mammalia; Rodentia; Muridae.